RNAcentral lists this unclassified non-coding RNA (231 nucleotides) under fungal sp. RNAcentral describes it as "partial internal transcribed spacer region". The stretch from base 1 to 48 matches the Rfam family "Eukaryotic small subunit ribosomal RNA", at positions 1784 to 1831 of the family's 1831-position model. The record is from RNAcentral. Lineage: Eukaryota; Fungi.
AAAAGUCGUAACAAGGUUUCCGUAGGUGAACCUGCGGAAGGAUCAUUAACACGAAACUUUUUUACAAUUUUGUAAAAAAUGUUUUACAACUAAACCUGUGCUCUUUCUUUUUUUCACACCUUCAACCCUUUAAUUUUAAUAAUUUUUUUUUUGUCCAAAGAACACAGUUUUUUGGUUACAACUUAAAUAAAGUUGAACAUACAACUGUUAACAAUGGAUAUCUAGGCUCUC